This is a long non-coding RNA of Grus americana (Whooping crane), 162 nucleotides long. RefSeq lists it as uncharacterized. The record is from RefSeq and is a predicted model, not a curated record. NCBI's taxonomy places the organism in Eukaryota, Metazoa, Chordata, Aves, Gruiformes, Gruidae. The transcript is spliced from 3 exons.
AGGAUGUGAGGUUCUUAAUGUCAGGUCAGUCAUAGAGAAGCUAUGGUCUGUAAAAGAUUCUUGUGAGAAGCUGAGCUGAAGUGGUUGUACAGUAUACAUCAUUCUUAAUGAGAAGAUCCCAAAGCACUGUACAGAUGUUAAUUCCAACACUAUUUUCAUAAG